AGACUUAGUGGCGGACGGGUGAGUAAUGUAUGAGCAACCUGCCUUCAAGAGGGGAAUAACAGUCGGAAACGACUGCUAAUACCGCAUAAUAAGGCGUAGUCGCAUGACAAUGCUUUCAAAGGAGCAAUCCGCUUGAAGAUGGGCUCAUAUCUGAUUAGAUAGUUGGUGAGGUAACGGCUCACCAAGUCUGCGAUCAGUAGCCGGACUGAGAGGUUGAAUGGCCACAUUGGAACUGAGAUACGGUCCAGACUCC
Molecule: ribosomal RNA, 253 nt
Filed under: uncultured bacterium
Lineage: Bacteria
Description: partial 16S ribosomal RNA
Rfam family: Bacterial small subunit ribosomal RNA
Source: RNAcentral